AUUGAACGCUGGCGGAAUGCUUUACACAUGCAAGUCGAACGGUAGAGGGGGCAACCCCUUGAGAGUGGCGAACGGGUGAGUAAUAUAUCGGAACGUGCCCGGUCGUGGGGGAUAACGUAGCGAAAGCUACGCUAAUACCGCAUACGAUCUACGGAUGAAAGCGGGGGAUCGCAAGACCUCGCGCGAUUGGAGCGGCCGAUAUCAGAUUAGGUAGUUGGUGAGGUAAAGGCUCACCAAGCCGACGAUCUGUAGCUGGUCUGAGAGGACGACCAGCCACACUGGGACUGACGACACGGCCCAGACUCCUACAGAGGCAGCAGUGGGGAAUUUUGGGACAAUGGGCGCAAGGCCUGAUCCAGCAAUGCCGCGUGCAGGAUGAAGGCCU
Molecule: ribosomal RNA, 385 nt
Filed under: uncultured bacterium
Lineage: Bacteria
Description: bacterial SSU rRNA
Rfam family: Bacterial small subunit ribosomal RNA
Source: RNAcentral